AACGAACGCUGGCGGCAUGCCUAACACAUGCAAGUCGAACGAGACCUUCGGGUCUAGUGGCGCACGGGUGCGUAACGCGUGGGAACCUGCCCUUAGGUUCGGAAUAACUCCCCGAAAGGGGUGCUAAUACCGGAUAAUGUCUUCGGACCAAAGAUUUAUCGCCUUUGGAUGGGCCCGCGUUGGAUUCGCUAGUUGGUAGGGUAAAAGCCUACCAAGGCGACGAUCCAUAGCUGGUCUGAGAGGAUGAUCAGCCACACUGGGACUGAGACACGGCCCAGACUCCUACGGGAGGCAGCAGUGGAGAGUAUUGGACAAUGGGCGAAAGCCUGAUCCAGCAAUGCCGCGUGAGUGAUGAAGGCCUUAGGGUUGUAAAGCUCUUUUACCCGGGAUGAUAAUGACAGUACCGGGAGAAUAAGCUCCGGCUAACUCCGUG
Molecule: ribosomal RNA, 433 nt
Filed under: uncultured bacterium
Lineage: Bacteria
Description: partial 16S ribosomal RNA
Rfam family: Bacterial small subunit ribosomal RNA
Source: RNAcentral